Molecule: unclassified non-coding RNA, 383 nt
Filed under: Hevea brasiliensis (rubber tree)
Lineage: Eukaryota; Viridiplantae; Streptophyta; Magnoliopsida; Malpighiales; Euphorbiaceae
Source: RNAcentral
AAAAAUAAUAAUAAUAAUAAAACACCAGGGCAAAUGGCCAAUACUAAGGGUAUAGAUGCUCUAUGGAAGAGUCAUGUAUCAUAUGAUAAAAGUUGUUUAGCUGGAAUCCAACAUUAAGCAUCAAACAAAAGGCAACCUGUGCAAUGAUCCAACACCAUGCGCUUCCUUGUGAGUUCCACUUGUGUAAACUUGUGCGCCAAAAAACGCGAUAUUGGAGAAAGGAAAUUGGUCAAAAACAGACACUCACACUCACACUGUUGUUCCAAAAAGAAAGCAUCAAAAAAGAAAAUGGGCCAAUCUUAUAACCACAAUUCCAAAAGUACAAACGUUCAACAAGCCCAACACCACCUACACAUCCACCCCCCCCACAAAAAAAAAAAAAA